GUGAAUGCAAUGACGAGAAGAGUAGGUUAUUUAAACUUUCAGAGAGAAAUCCUCCUAGCUGUAAGGGAUUUUAAGUAGGAAAUAACUGAAGUGCAUCUCAGAGCACUGAAUUGAAGCUUAGUAGACUUCAGCGGGUAUGCCCGUUAUAAAAUUGAGGUAUGAUUGUACCAAAAAUUUAAGAGUUAUCAUAUAAUUUUUAUAUGAUAAACAGAGUGGAACCGUGGAAGUUAAACUUCUGCCUCUGUA
RNAcentral lists this non-coding RNA (246 nucleotides) under Clostridium homopropionicum. Its description in RNAcentral is "T-box sequence". It matches the Rfam family "T-box leader". Rfam says of the family: Uncharged tRNA acts as the effector for transcription antitermination of genes in the T-box leader family. T-boxes are found upstream of many aminoacyl-tRNA synthetase genes and some amino acid biosynthetic genes usually in Gram-positive bacteria. The record is from RNAcentral. Lineage: Bacteria; Bacillati; Bacillota; Clostridia; Eubacteriales; Clostridiaceae.